GAGUUUGAUCGUGGCUCAGAUUGAACGCUGGCGGCAUGCCUUACACAUGCAAGUCGAACGGCAGCACGGGAGCUUGCUCCUGGUGGCGAGUGGCGAACGGGUGAGUAAUGCAUCGGAACGUAUCCUGGAGUGGGGGAUAACGUAGCGAAAGUUACGCUAAUACCGCAUAUUCUGUGAGCAGGAAAGCGGGGGACCUUCGGGCCUCGCGCUCUUGGAGCGGCCGAUGUCGGAUUAGCUAGUUGGUGAGGUAAAGGCUCACCAAGGCGACGAUCCGUAGCAGGUCUGAGAGGAUGAUCUGCCACACUGGAACUGAGACACGGUCAGACUCCUACGGGAGGCAGCAGUGGGAUUUUGGACAAUGGGGGCAACCCUGAUCCAGCCAUGCCGCGUGAGUGAAGAAGGCCUCGGUUGUAA
RNAcentral lists this ribosomal RNA (414 nucleotides) under bacterium enrichment culture clone ALO1_GLFRUDD03GYFH0. RNAcentral's name for it is "bacterial SSU rRNA". It matches the Rfam family "Bacterial small subunit ribosomal RNA", at positions 9 to 428 of the family's 1533-position model. The record is from RNAcentral.